Molecule: long non-coding RNA, 266 nt
Filed under: Gossypium barbadense (sea-island cotton)
Lineage: Eukaryota; Viridiplantae; Streptophyta; Magnoliopsida; Malvales; Malvaceae
Description: long non-coding RNA (GBAR_LNC007027)
Source: RNAcentral
UCAGACUCAACUCAACGAGUUUGGACGUUAGCAUCCAUAAGUGAACUCGGACUCAACUCAACGAGUUCGGAUGUUCGCAUCCAUAUGUGAACUCAGACUCAACUCAACGAGUCCGGAUGUUUGCAUCCAUAAGUGAACUCGGGCUCAAAUCAACGAGUUCGGAUGUCCAAAUAUCCAAAUCUAUUCCUAAGGUUCAACGGGACUUUCCUCAUUCGUACUCCUUUACCAUUCUCCUUGGAAUACCAAUGACGAUACUUCGAUAGUCU